GGGGGCAACCCCUUGAGAGUGGCGAACGGGUGAGUAAUAUAUCGGAACGUGCCCAGUCGUGGGGGAUAACGUAGUGAAAAUUACGCUAAUACCGCAUACGAUCUAAGGAUGAAAGCGGGGGAUCGCAAGACCUCGCGCGACUGGAGCGGCCGAUAUCAGAUUAGGUAGUUGGUAGGGUAAAGGCCUACCAAGCCAACGAUCUGUAGCUGGUCUGAGAGGACGACCAGCCACACUGGAACUGAGACACGGUCCAGACUCCUACGGGAGGCAGCAGUGGGGAAUUUUGGACAAUGGGCGAAAGCCUGAUCCAGCCAUUCCGCGUGCAGGAUGAAGGCCCUCGGGUUGUAAACUGCUUUUGUACAGAACGAAAAGGUCUCUAUUAAUACUAGGGGCUCAUGACGGUACUGUAAGAAUAAGCACCGGCUAACUACGUGCCAGCAGCCGCGGUAAUACGUAGGGUGCAAGCGUUAAUCGGAAUUACUGGGCGUAAAGCGUGCGCAGGCGGUUAUAUAAGUCAGAUGUGAAAUCCCCGGGCUCAACCUGGGAACUGCAUUUGAGACUGUAUAGCUAGAGUACGGUAGAGGGGGAUGGAAUUCCGCGUGUAGCAGUGAAAUGCGUAGAUAUGCGGAGGAACACCGAUGGCGAAGGCAAUCCCCUGGACCUGUACUGACGCUCAUGCACGAAAGCGUGGGGAGCAAACAGGAUUAGAUACCCUGGUAGUCCACGCCCUAAACGAUGUCAACUGGUUGUUGGGUCUUAACUGACUCAGUAACGAAGCUAACGCGUGAAGUUGACCGCCUGGGGAGUACGG
RNAcentral lists this ribosomal RNA (811 nucleotides) under uncultured bacterium. RNAcentral's name for it is "bacterial SSU rRNA". It matches the Rfam family "Bacterial small subunit ribosomal RNA", at positions 75 to 885 of the family's 1533-position model. The record is from RNAcentral.